This 249-nucleotide ribosomal RNA is filed under the name uncultured bacterium. RNAcentral's name for it is "partial 16S ribosomal RNA". It matches the Rfam family "Bacterial small subunit ribosomal RNA", at positions 15 to 236 of the family's 1533-position model. The record is from RNAcentral.
GAUCCUGGCUCAGGACGAACGCUGGCGGCGUGCUUAACACAUGCAAGUCGAACGAGAGCGUAGAGAAAGCUUGCUUUUUCUACAAUCUAGUGGCAAACGGGUGAGUAACGCGUAAACAACCUGCCCUACGGAUGGGGACAACAGCUGGAAACGGCUGCUAAUACCGAAUACGUUCCGAAAGUCGCAUGACUGUCGGGAAGAAAGGAUGGCCUCUAUUUAUAAGCUAUCGCCGGAGGAGGGGGUUUGCGU